Molecule: ribosomal RNA, 308 nt
Filed under: uncultured eukaryote
Lineage: Eukaryota
Description: partial 18S ribosomal RNA
Rfam family: Eukaryotic small subunit ribosomal RNA
Source: RNAcentral
CCCUUAGACGUUCUGGGCCGCACGCGCGCUACACUGACGAGGGCAACGAGCUUUCCUUUACCGAAAGGUACGGGUAAUCUUUUGAAACUUCGUCGUGCUGGGGAUAGAUCCUUGCAAUUUUUGAUCUUAAACGAGGAAUGCCUAGUAAGCGCAAGUCAUCAACUUGCGUUGAUUACGUCCCUGCCCUUUGUACACACCGCCCGUCGCUACUACCGAUUGAAUGGUUUAGUGAGGCCUUCGGAUCCGCGACUCGUUUUGUGGAGAAGUUGGACAAACUCAGUCAUUUAGAGGAAGUAAAAGUCGUAACA